Molecule: RNA transcript, 1212 nt
Organism: Varanus komodoensis (Komodo dragon)
Lineage: Eukaryota; Metazoa; Chordata; Lepidosauria; Squamata; Varanidae
Gene: TRAPPC2
Gene name: trafficking protein particle complex subunit 2
Exons: 8
Source: RefSeq, a predicted model, not a curated record
GCCGCGCCGGAUGUUUUGGGCGGAAAAUAGUCACCUGCCCUGUCUUCCUUUUACGUCGUUUGAUUCUGGCCACAACUGAGUCUGAGCAAAAGGAUUACUAUCACAGCACUGGAAGGACAGUCGCCCACCUCCUGUAAUACAAUAGACUGAGAAGGGGAAAUAUGUCUGGAAGCUUCUACUUUGUAAUUGUGGGGCAUCAUGACAAUCCAGUAUUUGAAAUGGAAUUUCUACCAGCUGGUAAAGUAGAGUCUAAGGAUGAUCAUCGCCAUCUUAAUCAAUUCAUAGCUCAUGCCGCUCUUGAUUUAGUAGAUGAAAACAUGUGGUUGUCUAACAAUAUGUACCUGAAGACUGUGGACAAGUUUAAUGAGUGGUUUGUUUCUGCGUUUGUCACUGCAGGACAUAUGAGAUUUAUAAUGCUUCAUGAUAUAAGGCAAGAAGAUGGAAUUAAAAACUUCUUUAGUGAUGUCUAUGACCUUUAUAUAAAGUUUGCGAUGAACCCAUUUUAUGAACCCAAUUCGCCAAUUCGAUCAACUGCAUUUGACAGGAAAGUUCAGUUUCUCGGGAAGAAACAUCUUUUAAGCUGAGUUACUGCAUCUGUAUUGUAACAAAUAGCGAAAUGCAUGUAUGACACAUUCUGAACCUAAGAUGACCAAUCUGCCACUAAAUACUUGAGAUGUUUAAAAAGUACUUCACAACAAGCCUAGUGAAACUCUCUGAUGCCAAAUCUGAUGCAAACACUGAAAUCUGGCCACAUGGAUCACACAGAAAGCAGGAACACCCCAGAAAGAUGAGUGCAGAGCCAAGGAGUGUCAGAUGCAAGCAAGCAAGCCAAGGAAAGCCGUAUACUCACUCAUGACCAAAUUCAAAUAUUCAAGCACAUCCACAUGUUUUCAGCGGGUAAGAUGCCUGGACCAGCUUGGUAAAUCAACAGAUGAGAAAGGCCUCUAGCACUCCACAUGAAUACCAGAAAAUAUCAACAUAUCAAUUGCUGUAAUAAUAGAUAAGUUAUGGAAAAUGAACUCAGUCUGUGUUCUGAUUAUCAAGUCUUUACAAAACUUUGGAAGGUGAGUAAACGCUGCUAAAGAACAAUACAAUGCCAUGUGAGGAUUUGGUAGGCUGAUUUUGUAUUUUCUGUAUUUCAUAAUUUGUAUUGUAACUGCAGCUUGUUUUGCACAGCCCAUGGCAAUAAACCCAUGUGCAGUCUGCCAUGUA